This 468-nucleotide ribosomal RNA is filed under the name uncultured bacterium. RNAcentral's name for it is "partial 16S ribosomal RNA". It matches the Rfam family "Bacterial small subunit ribosomal RNA", at positions 28 to 507 of the family's 1533-position model. The record is from RNAcentral.
GACGAACGCUGGCGGCGGGCUUAACACAUGCAAGUCGAACGGAAAGGCCCUGCUUUUGUGGGGUGCUCGAGUGGCGAACGGGUGAGUAACACGUGAGUAAGCUGCCCUUGACUUUGGGAUAACUUCAGGAAACUGGGGCUAAUACCGGAUAGGAGCUCCUGCUGCAUGGUGGGGGUCGGAAAGUUUCGGCGGUUGGGGAUGGACUCGCGGCUUAUCAGCUUGUUGGUGGGGUAGUGGCAUACCAAGGCAUUGACGGGUAGCCGGCCUGAGAGGGUGACCGGCCACAUGGGGACUGAGAUACGGCCCAGACUCCUACGGGAGGCAGCAGUGGAGAAUAUUACACAAUGGGCGGAAGCCUGAUGCAGCAACGCCGCGUGCGGGAUGACGGCCUUCGGGUUGUAAACCGCUUUCGCCUGAGACGAAGCGUGAGUGACGGUAAUGGGUAAAGAAGCACCGGCUAACUACGUG